Unclassified non-coding RNA from Ictidomys tridecemlineatus (thirteen-lined ground squirrel), 313 nucleotides. Its record names the gene 7SK. It matches the Rfam family "7SK RNA". Rfam says of the family: 7SK was discovered as an abundant small nuclear RNA in the mid-70s but a possible function has only recently been suggested. The record is from Ensembl. NCBI's taxonomy places the organism in Eukaryota, Metazoa, Chordata, Mammalia, Rodentia, Sciuridae.
GGAGUUGAGGGAGAUCUGGCUGCAACAUCUGUCACCCCAUUGAUUGCUUCGGCUGAUCUGGCUGGCUAGGCAGAUGUCCCUUACUCUGUCACUGCUUCAUAUGCAUCCCUCCUGAAGCUUCUGUAUCAGUCAAAGAGGACAACCUUCCUUGAUUGAGGAGAACCAUUCUUCAGUCAAGGGUAUAGCUCUACUCCUCUGCCUAGAACCUCCAAACAAGCCCUCAAGGAACUAAUAUCCAGAAUAUGUGGAGAACUCUUAUAACUCAAAGAGUAAAAAUAUGAGGGGCUGGGGUUGUGGCUCAGUGGCAGAGCAC